Molecule: ribosomal RNA, 253 nt
Filed under: uncultured bacterium
Lineage: Bacteria
Description: partial 16S ribosomal RNA
Rfam family: Bacterial small subunit ribosomal RNA
Source: RNAcentral
UACGAAGGGGGCUAGCGUUGCUCGGAAUCACUGGGCGUAAAGGGUGCGUAGGCGGGUCUUUAAGUCAGGGGUGAAAUCCUGGAGCUCAACUCCAGAACUGCCUUUGAUACUGAGGAUCUUGAGUACGGGAGAGGUGAGUGGAACUGCGAGUGUAGAGGUGAAAUUCGUAGAUAUUCGCAAGAACACCAGUGGCGAAGGCGGCUCUCUGGACCGUAACUGACGCUGAGGCGCGAAAGCGUGGGGAGCAAACAGG